This 2722-nucleotide long non-coding RNA is filed under the name Sus scrofa (pig). RNAcentral describes it as "lncRNA (ENSSSCG00050073670.1)". Lineage: Eukaryota; Metazoa; Chordata; Mammalia; Artiodactyla; Suidae. The record is from RNAcentral.
UGUGGGGUUUUUUGGACACAACUAUUUGGUUAAUUACCCAAAGCCUCAUCCAUCCUCAAGAUUUUCAAACUUUAUUUUUUUUUUUGUAAAUGAAUGGGCAUUGUGUUUAUGGAUUUUAAAAAUACGAUUGUUUUAUUUAAAUGCCAUGCUGAGCAGUUGUUCUCUGUUCAUGGUAACCAAAACCUGAAGCGAUUUCGAUCAGUUUUGAUCACUGUUUAGUUAUCCAAAACAUGUACUGUGUACAAAUGAAAUAAUAUGGCAUAUUAGCCAGGUUUCAUGGUUGCCCAAGGCAUUUAAUGGAAGCUCAGUUUUGUAUUUUAUUAAGGCUCCAGCAUAUGCUUGAUCUGAAAUGUGUACAUUUUUGGUGUAUACUUGGUACUAGAGAUUCCUGUAUGCAAAUAUCCUCAUAUAUAAGAAGGCUCAACAUUGUUCGUGCUUUGAAANGCUUUGAAAAAAAAAAAAAAAAAAAAGAUGAAUUGUCCAGCCAGCGCCCAAAGGAAACGUUGUUUUUUGGGAAGAUGACUCAGCCACUUUGCCUUGAGACACCCUUCAGUAACCCCCGCUGGACCAGUCUUGGGAGGCAUCCUGGAAUGCUCGUGGGCUGAGACAAGGAGAUGUUUUUCUGCAAAAUGAAACUGAAGCGGGAAGAAGGGAGAGUGUCAGCAAACCAAGAGAAAUCUGAAGAUUUCAGGAAGGAGGACUCAGAUGGGUGUGAAAGGAAGAGAUGAAAGUAGGGGAGGUGAGGUGGAAAUUGUAGGGUGUGAGAGAGGUUUGGGUGAGGAAGUACAUUUUUAGAUAUGUGCUGUUUCCAACCAGGGGUCGCAAACUCAGCAGCCUGCAGAAGGAGGUUGGGAGGUAAAUGGGGGGGGUGAUGGGGAGGGAGCCGUGUUCAGGGGGUCCCCCUGGUUUGGCUCCAUGCAGGGAAAAGGGUAGGGUGGGAAAUUUUUUUUUAAAUCAGGAUUUUUUUUUUUUUUUUUAAAGGACACGCUCUCAUUUUUCAACCACAUAAUUUAAAAAUAUCCAAAACCCAUGUGGGCCAAAAAUAUAUAUAUAUAUAUGGUUAAACCUGGGGGCCACCAGUUUGCGACCCCUGCCUUCCACAGUUAAGCCCUCCAGUAUGUAUCAGGUUAUGUUUAUUCUUAUGGAUAUGAGGUUCUUAGUAUGGGGGGGUGAUAUGUCGAGUCUUUAUUUUCAGAGUUAAAGCUUUAUUGUAGAAACAAACCCCCUCAAAUUAACAUGGCCACAGAUAACCCUGGACUCACAAUUCCCAGAAGCAGUCUCCAUCCUGGAGCUUUAGGAGUCAGAUCUUACAUCAAACCCCUGGGGACCAGUUCUUGGCAUUUCCUUCCUGGUGCAGUUGGGGCUAAAGUCCUAGACUCUGUCCCGGGUUUGCAGAUGAGUAAUCAGGAAGGAUUGCAGAAUAACUGGUUUCUUCUUUAUUUGCAUUUUAUUCUUAUUUUUCGAUUGAUUAUUAUUUUUUAAGCAGUUCCUUAGCAAUGAUAGCAGGUGGCCGUGAACACCAGAAAAGCAGUGCUGGUUCUCCGGGCCAAGUUUCUUAUGCUGGUUCCUAGCCCCACUGCCAAAAGCACUGUUUUCGUCUUUGGUUGGUAUGUUUGUGCUUUUUUUGUUUUUGUCCUUUAGGGCCACACCUGCACCAUUUGGAAGUUCCCAGGCUAGGGGUCGAAUCCGAGCCACAGCCACAGCAGUGCGGGAUCCAAGCUGUGUCUGUGACCUACACCACAGCUCAUGGCAACGCUGGAUCCUCAACCCACUGAGUGAGGCCAGGGAUCCAACCAGCAUCCUCAUGGGUACUCAUCAGGUUCAUUACCACUAAGCCACAACGGGAACUCCAAGAGCAUUGUUCUAAUCAAAUAUUUCCAUCCCUUUCUGACUCCGUGGCUCCCACCAAAAUGAACAUCCUCACAUUCUGAAGGAAUUAAAUAAACAGCCUCCAAAAUGUCUCCUUUAACUUCAUGGAGUUAAGUCACUUUUUCUGUAAAAUGUGGCUUUUGACCUUGACAAUGACUUACCCUGUCCACACAGAGGAAGAGUAUUAUCCCUCCGCCAAGUGAUGGGAAAAAUGGGGGAAAAAGUUCAGUGUUAUCAUUUGUGGCGUUUGUUAAUUUUUAAAAAAUUGCAUGUCUUCCUUAGACACUACGGUUUAUUUUAUUUUAUUUUAUUUUUUACACCUACAUAGCACAUGAUUUGGUGGCGAUAAAGCACGUAUACGUUGGGAGUGGACAGAGAUAUGUGCGAUCCUUUAUACAGAGAGAAUAGACUAAAACGUGCAGCUAAGUUAGAUAUAACCCAGUUUUGGAAGUAUCAGACAUUCAGGAAUAUUUUUUAGCACCUUUUGCUUUAAAAAAAAAAAAAAGUGCCUUGAUUCAGUCACUUGACUUUAAAACAUUCCUCUUAGUUUAUUGUUAUUUUUAGGAUGUAUUCUGACCCCAACCUGUGUCAUAGGAUGCAGCCGGUCGGCUGCGAUCAUAGCAUAUGUUCUGUUCCAAUAAUGGACACCAAAGAAGUAAUCAGAUGGGGUUUAGCUGCUACCGUCGUCGUGUGAUUGAAAGGCGUCUUAAUCACACCAGGUGUCCAUGGCCCAGACAGUCGAGGCCUGCCAUUCGUUUUCUAUUUCAGGUCGGAGUAAAUUUGCACUUUUUAAUCAUAUGGGUCAUUGGGGGACCUUGUUCUUUCAUCCUUUGCUUUAUUAAUAAAGGAACUU